UUUCCGUAGGUGAACCUGCGGAAGGAUCAUUACAACGUAUCCACGUAUAAACCUUUGUGAACAUGUUUAACCGCGUAAUUGUCACGUCGCAAAGCAGUCAGCGAUUCGGAAAUAAAGCUGACCGCCCGCUACUCUCUCGCAGAGCAGGGACGCAACAAUUGUGUUUUUCCGUUACAUUAUUAACCACUGUAACUUUCUAUGUACUUAACGAAUUAAGGCGAAAGCUUUUCUUCGAUAAAUAUAAGAAAUUAUAGCACAACUCUUAGCAACGGAUAUCUAGGCUCUC
This 286-nucleotide unclassified non-coding RNA is filed under the name soil metagenome. RNAcentral describes it as "partial contains small subunit ribosomal RNA, internal transcribed spacer 1, and 5.8S ribosomal RNA". The record is from RNAcentral.